AUGAUCCUCACAGUACCAUUUGGAAGUGGAAGGGCAACAUGUGAUCUCCAGUCCUCAUGGAACAUCCAGUAUCAUGUGUCACACAUGGGAUAUCAGGAUAUCACGUAUCUUGGAUAUCUACAGUACAGCUACGUAUGCAGCCCUUUCAGUUCCCUUUGUGAAAUCACUCCUGAUUCUGGAAACCAACCUCACCCACUGCAAGUGCUUGCUGUAUCAUGCAUUUACAAUAAUUUGGGGGCCAUCACUUUGAUCACAGAGAAAAACUCCACUGUAUUCCCUAUACUCAAAGCAAGAACUGUAGGAGUCCAAAUCUUCCUACAGUGGAUCUCAGAGUCACUGCGUCAUCAAUGUAUGGCACCAGGAGCUGAGUGAACUUUCCAUGCUGCUUGACCAGCAUUAGAUUCUGCUGUAUGUAUCCAGAGUGGGAAAUGAUGUAAGAAGAGUUAAACUGAUUACCUUAAAAUACUGCAAGAAUCUACUUAACUGGCUAGUUGUGAUAAAUAUAUUGUAGGUCAUUAGACGUCUUGGGUAAGUGUCCCUUCUUUUUCAGCUGGAAAAUGCAACUUCAUAAAGUGGAAGGAGAAACAACAGUAGGGCCCUUGCUAGCAGUAGUCUCAGCAUAAAACUGCGAAUUAUGUUUAAAAAACCCAACAUGUUCUAAAGAACUACAGAUAUGUCUGUGGGAGAGCCAGGAAAAUUCUGAAUGUAGAUGGAUCCAAUUCUCAUAUAACUGCAGACAACUUGGAAAGAGAAGAGUGCACCUGAUCUGUUAUUAGGUCCAGGUAGAUGAUCCAGCUUCAGUACCUGGGCCUUUGCCCUAUUCCUAUUCAUUUUAUUAGCAUGGAUGUAACCAAAGCCUCCUGUUACAGAACUGGGGUCAAAUGGAUACAGCUGGAAGUUGAGUAUGAGAGCAGAAAUCAGAUUAUGUAUUAUAUAUUUUCAUAUGUGCAUAUAUGUAUUAAACAAGCUUAAGGGAAGAGGAAAUUCUGUAGUGUCUUAAAUCUUGCAAUACUUUCCUCUACUACAGUAUUUUCUACUUUGUCUAAUUACCUGGAACAUUCUGAAAUACAUUAUAAUAUUAUGAUAGAAGAUGAUCACCCAAGGAGUUAACUCAAAUCUCACCUAUUUCUCCAUCAUUCUUCCUCCUGAAGAGUCUUAAUUCACACAUCUGUGUCAGUUCUUGUGGAUCAGAGCUAGCUCUAAGCUUUUAGCUUGUCCAAGAAGUUAAAAUGAACACUCUACAACUGUGGAACAACAGCAGAUGAGCUUCACAAGCACCAGUGAAAUCAAUUUCACAAGAACUCAAGGUGGAAGAGAAGCUGUUCUCAGUCAGGAGCCAGAGUCUAUCAACAGAAAUUCAUGUCAGCCCUUUGACUUCAAAAGAUCCAUGCCAGUUUACUGCAGUCCUUGUUUGGGGAUCAAACACAGUCCUCAUAACAAUGCUUUUGCUACAACUUUCCUCUCCCAGCAGAGCUAUGUCUGAUUUAGCUCAUGAAUAUGUUUAUGUGCUGUACUGUCAAGUGGUGCUGUGGAUUUGGGAUGUAGUGGUGUAUCAGUAAGGGGCACAGAGGAUGAAAUGAACCUAUGUAUGGGCCAAAAGGGAUCACUUCCUUUGGAAUACGUUUGUGUUCCAUCUUACGUAGUUAUCUACAUGUGGGUAAAGUCCCCUUUUAUGACAACAGUGGAUUUUCAAUCAUCUUUCUAUUCCUAGUUAACCUUAAGGUAAAGCAAUCUGCUCUCAAGAAUUAGGACUUUAUCCAGGCAAGCUGACCUUUUUCAGGAGGAACAUUUUACCAAGUGGAAAGCAUUGCCAGUUAAUAGUAUUAAAUUAGUGUGCAGACAAUCAUUUUCCUCGAUUUUCUUCUUUAUUUUUCCUCUAAACCUGCCUCUGAGCUGAAAUGCUAUCUUUUUGAAAUCAGAGAUAUGACCUCUCUCUUCCUUCCUUAGCCUAGAGGGAUAAAAUAAGAAUAAUAAAAACUAGUCAAAUCAUCUGUUUAGUCUCA
Molecule: long non-coding RNA, 2003 nt
Filed under: Numida meleagris (helmeted guineafowl)
Lineage: Eukaryota; Metazoa; Chordata; Aves; Galliformes; Numididae
Description: lncRNA (ENSNMEG00000004982.1)
Source: RNAcentral